AUUGAACGCUGGCGGCAGGCCUAACACAUGCAAGUCGAGCGGUAGCAGGAAGCAGCUUGCUGCUUUGCUGACGAGUGGCGGACGGGUGAGUAAUGUCUGGGAAACUGCCUGAUGGAGGGGGAUAACUACUGGAAACGGUAGCUAAUACCGCAUAACGUCGCAAGACCAAAGAGGGGGACCUUAGGGCCUCUUGCCAUCGGAUGUGCCCAGAUGGGAUUAGCUAGUAGGUGGGGUAACGGCUCACCUAGGCGACGAUCCCUAGCUGGUCUGAGAGGAUGACCAGCCACACUGGAACUGAGACACGGUCCAGACUCCUACGGGAGGCAGCAGUGGGGAAUAUUGCACAAUGGGCGCAAGCCUGAUGCAGCCAUGCCGCGUGUAUGAAGAAGGCCCUCGGGUUGUAAAGUACUUUCAGCGGGGAGGAAGGGAGUAAAGUUAAUACCUUUGCUCAUUGACGUUACCCGCAGAAGAAGCACCGGCUAACUCCGUG
This 490-nucleotide ribosomal RNA is filed under the name uncultured bacterium. RNAcentral's name for it is "partial 16S ribosomal RNA". It matches the Rfam family "Bacterial small subunit ribosomal RNA", at positions 30 to 507 of the family's 1533-position model. The record is from RNAcentral.